RNAcentral lists this long non-coding RNA (3593 nucleotides) under Xyrichtys novacula (pearly razorfish). The record is from RNAcentral. Lineage: Eukaryota; Metazoa; Chordata; Actinopteri; Labriformes; Labridae.
GCUUUAACCUUGAUGCAAGUGAAACAUUAGUCGAUAUGUUAAAAAAAGGUGUGAUCACAGAUAAACACACCAACUUCACCAGUCUCUGCUUUGACAUGAGGGAGUGGUACUUCAGCGGUUGACAUAUAGCCACAUAUCUGUCAUAGGCCAUGACUGUGAGAAAUGAUAGAUCAGCACAGGUGAAUGAGUUCACGACCAGAGACUGAACAAGACAUCCAUAAUAAGAGAUAACAUGAACUGGAGACAGAAGAUCCCAGAGAAACUUUGGAAAGAAACCAGUUGAUCCGUACAGCCCAUUAAAGCAGAAUGUACACAGUAGAAUAUACAUGGGUUCAUGCAGGUUUUUAUCUAUGAUAAUCGUCACAAUGAGAACUACAUUCCCAAACAGAAUUGAACAGUAACAAAGUAAAGUGAGAGAGAAAAUGACAGAGCGAUAUUUCCUUGUCUCAUUAAGACCUGAGAGAAAAAACACUGAAGUGUUUUCCAUCAAGACAAGCUGUUUUAUGGGAGGGGAUAACCCAGCCCCGAAUAGUCCCAGCUAUCUCUUCUCACAUUUAUACAUAUAUAUUCUCAGAUUACAUCAACUAAAGGAGGGAAUUCAGAUGGACCAAUCAGUACAGUUUGCAUGUCUGUCACCUGGAUACAAACAAAAUGAACAUUAAAAUAAGUAGAAUUUGGAUUCUGAGACAUCUUUUAAAUCCUGUUUGAGUCAUAAAUCCAGAAAUUUCAGAGACAUUAUUAAUUAUUGGAAACAUUAAACCUAAGUUAAAAUGACUACAGACAUUUGUCCUCUGGUUUUCUUUUCCAUCUAAAAAAUGUUUUUAUAGCAAAAACAUGACAAGCAUACCAGAAGUGUGCAUAUUACAAUACAUUUUAUUGGAAAGAGAAGCAAAAAUCAAUUCUAAAGGUGUUCAAAGCAUUGAUCCACAUUUAAUUUACAACCCCAGUGGAUUGGAAACAAAACAGGGCCAAAUCUUCAGCUGUAAGGCUUGGACCUACCCCCUUCCCACUAAUUUCAGACUUUAAAAUUAAGGAUAUAAAAAUCUCAGAUCUUGUUGCUGAUGGUCUAAUGUGAUUUUGUAUUUCAUUAACACUCAAUUUUGGUCCAUUUCAUAAAUAUCAAUGAACUCCUCAUAGGAGCUUUAAAGUCAGGUAAAGUGGAUGUUUUCUGGUCUUGUUGGUGUGUUAAUCUGUUGUGGUCAACUUUAUAGUCUAUGUCAUCUUUUUGUAUGCUACAGUUUUCAUCCUCAUGUGACACACAGUAGAAAAAGUUUGAGAACCAACUCUUUGAACCCAUUUUAGCGGCUUGAUCAUCUGAGCUUGUGCAGUGUCUACCCUAUGGGAGCCCAUCUAGAGUAAUGCUCAUGGUCAGUGUUUGCAUGUGGGAUUAAUGUAGCAGAGUAACACUUUUUUAGAUAAAUAAGACUCUAUUGCUUUAAUGUGUCCAUUAAUAAGGUCUUAUGUUUUUAGGUUGGUUUAUAACACAAACAUGGGCAUCCUGAUUGAGUUGAAAAAUAAGUCUAUUAAUAUAACAGCAGGGGUACUUAUUGGUGUGCCAUUGAACAAAAAUAAUUCCUUGAAUGACUUUGGUUUUUAUAUUAAUUCAGACCACUGGCCUUACAUUUUUAAUCUGUAUGAUACUUCUGUUUUUAAUUUGAGCUUCCAGGUACAAACUUGUGAUUCUUCUGCUCUCAUUCAAACACACUCAAGCACAAAUGCAAAUUAUGUAGACACUUGGAAAUGGCUCUCAAUUCAUUUAAUAAUAAUAAUAAUAAUAUCUUACAUUUAUAUAGCGCCUUUCAGGAUACCCAAGGCGCUUAACAACACACUACAAAAACUAAAUACCAAAAGCCUGGAUAAACAAGUGUCGCUUCAGAGCAGACUUGAAAGAGUCAAGAGUCUGUGCUUGGCGAAUCUCAGAGGGGAGAGAGUUCCAGAGAGGAGGGGCGGCCACACUGAAGGCUCUGUCACCAAGGGAUCGCCUUUUCCCAUAGCGGACAGUGAGGAGCCCAAGGUCUGCAGACCGCAGAGUACGCGCCGGGAUGUAGUCCUUGAGGAGGUCAGAGAGAUAGUAUGGGGCUAGGGCAUGGAGAGCUUUGUAGGUGAGCAGGAGGAGUUUGUAGAUGAUGCGAUAUUUGAUGGGAAGCCAGUGGAGGCGUUUGAGGGUGGGGGUGAUGUGCUGCCAAGGUUUGGUCCGGGUGAGCACUCUGGCAGCUGAAUUUUGAACGUACUGCAGACGGUCCAAGUCUUUUUUAGGAAGUCCGAACAGGACACCGUUGCAGUAGUCUAAGCGGGAGGAUACAAAGGCAUGGAUGAGGGUUUCUGCAACAGGGUCUGAGAGGGACGAGCGGAGUCUGGAGAUGGUCUUAAGGUGGAAAAAGGCUGACUUAGUUACGGAUUUAAUGUGGGUUUGGAAUGAGAGGGCAGAGUCCAAGAUGACGCCCAGGUUGCGCACCUCGGAGGAUGGGGAGAUGGAGUAGCCGUCAAUAUGGAGGAGGAAAUCACCCAUUCUGCGAAGCAGUGCCUUGGGAGCCAUGAGCAAGAGCUCUGUUUUCUUGGUGUUGAGUUGGAGUAGGUUGGUGGUUUUUAUUUCUUGUAGGCAGUUGACAAUGGGGAGUGGAGGGAGCAGAGUGGUGGGUGUGGUGCUGAGAUAUAUCUGUGUAUCAUCGGCGUAACAGUGGAAAUCAAGGCCGUGCUUACGGAUGAUCUGGCCGAGCGGGAGCAUGUAUAUGGUGAAGAGGAGUGGACCAAGUACGGAAUCCUGUGGGACUCCGUGUGGAACUGGGGCCGGGUGGGACUUGGAACCAUGCAUGGAGACAAACUGCAGGCGGUUGGACAGAUAGGAGUGAAACCAGGAGAGCGCAGAUCCAGUGAUAUUGAGGUGUGUAGAGAGGCGGUUGAGGAGGAUGGAGUGAGAGACUGUGUCAAAGGCUGCAGAGAGGUCCAACAGGAUGAGGAUGCUGAUGUUGCCGGAGUCAGCCGCGAUGAGGAGGUCAUUGAUGAUUUUAACCAAGGCGGUCUCAGUGCUGUGGUGCGCUCUGUAGGCAGACUGGAAGGGUUCGGAGAGUUUGUGGUCGGACAUGUGCUGCUGGAGCUGCACGGCGACUACUCUUUCCAGGGUCUUGCUGAGGAACGGGAGAUUGGAAAUCGGCCGGUAGUUGGUAAGGUCGUCGGGGUCCAGACCAGGCUUUUUCAGUAUGGGGGUGACAGAUGCAGUUUUGAAACUGGUGGGAACCAUGCCGGAUAGCAGAGAGGAGUUGAUGAUGUUAGUAAUGAUGGGAGCCAGGGUCGGUAGACAGGCCUUUACCAGCGUCGUGGGCAUAGGGUCCAGGGAGCAACUGGAGGCCUUGGCUUUGGUGACCAGUUCGGUGGUAAGGGAUUCAUCCACUGGAGUGAAGGAGGUGAACGGGGGACACGUGGCAGAGGGGGCAGUGUCCUGCAGCUGAGGUGUAUGCAGACAGGUGGUGGAUGUCUGGAGCUGCUGAUGGAUGGUAUCCACCUUGUCCUGGAAGAAGUUCAGGAAUCUAUGGCAGAGGUCAGAAUCACCAGAAGCUGGAAUGGGUGGGAGGGGGCUGAGAAGCUUGUUUACUGUG